CCCAUCCAUUUAUAUACAGAGAGAGCCAUUUGCAAGAGAGAUUUGAGCGAGAGAGAGAGAGAUGGGGGAUUUCUUUAGUGGAAACCUUCAUUGAAAAGAAUUUCAGGGAAGUAGUUACUAAAGCACAUAGAUGGCGAUCAAAUGCAUUCCAUGAAAGUACAUUUGAUAAAGCAUCUUUGUUCAAACUACUUGAGCUGAAAGGCCGAACAGGUU
This is a long non-coding RNA of Juglans microcarpa x Juglans regia, 213 nucleotides long. RefSeq lists it as uncharacterized. The record is from RefSeq and is a predicted model, not a curated record. The transcript has 3 exons. Lineage: Eukaryota; Viridiplantae; Streptophyta; Magnoliopsida; Fagales; Juglandaceae.